Molecule: ribosomal RNA, 327 nt
Filed under: Triticum aestivum (bread wheat)
Lineage: Eukaryota; Viridiplantae; Streptophyta; Magnoliopsida; Poales; Poaceae
Description: partial small subunit ribosomal RNA
Source: RNAcentral
AUGGAGCACCUGCUGGUUGCCUGUCCAUUCUUGCGACAGGUUUGGCAUGACUGCUUCAAUUGGUGUUACCCCCAAGCACAUGCGUUGGCGCCCAACAACCAGUUCUUAGGCUGGUGGCACGCCAUGACGUCUAGUGCACCGGCAACGCACCGGAACGGCAUCUCCUUGCUCAUACUCGUGGUGGCCUGGUCCAUUUGGAAGCAUCGAAAUUCUUGCGUCUUCGGUGGCGCCACUCCCUCCGCCUCCCAGCUUCUCCAUGCCAUCCAAGAGAAGGCACGCUCCUAGGUCAAGGCAGGGGCCACGGGUCUGGCAACCAUUACGUCGUAG